UACGGAGGGUGCAAGCGUUAUCCGGAUUCACUGGGUUUAAAGGGUGCGUAGGUGGGUCUGUAAGUCCGUGGUGAAAUCUCUAGGCUUAACCUGGAAACUGCCAUGGAUACUAUCAGUCUUGAAUACCGUGGAGGUCAGCGGAAUAUGUCAUGUAGCGGUGAAAUGCUUAGAUAUGACAUAGAACACCAAUUGCGAAGGCAGCUGGCUACACGAAUAUUGACACUGAUGCACGAAAGCGUGGGGAUCAAACAGG
This 253-nucleotide ribosomal RNA is filed under the name uncultured bacterium. RNAcentral describes it as "partial 16S ribosomal RNA". It matches the Rfam family "Bacterial small subunit ribosomal RNA", at positions 524 to 776 of the family's 1533-position model. The record is from RNAcentral.